AAACAUAAUCGCAUAAAGCGGCUCCAUGCUGAUGAGUUAAAGCAGAACAUGUCUAUGCGUAUGGCAGUAUGGCAGCUUACAGUAAGAAAUUACUCUCUUUACAUCAGUUUGUGUUUGUGUGGAUCUGCUGUUAAAGCUGCAGUGAAAUCAGGACAUCACAGUUAGUGCUGGAUUCCUCUUAAAAUGUUUUAGGUCAAUUGCAGUCUUUGUUUU
Carassius carassius (crucian carp) is the source of this 213-nucleotide long non-coding RNA. RefSeq lists it as uncharacterized. NCBI's taxonomy places the organism in Eukaryota, Metazoa, Chordata, Actinopteri, Cypriniformes, Cyprinidae. The record is from RefSeq and is a predicted model, not a curated record. The transcript is spliced from 3 exons.